AUAUAUUCGUAGAAGAAGAAAGUAGCAUAAAGGAAUUUUACAGAGAGUUAGAUUUGGCUGAGAACUAAUAUUGGAAUUUAUGUGAAAAGGACUUUGGAGAAUACUAUUGUAAUUAUGUUAGAAUAGUGGUUUAAUUCGCCUUAAGAAAAUGAGUGAGUAAAAUUAAUUUUUACUAAUAAGAGUGGUAACACGGAUUUAUAUUCGUCUCUUGG
Molecule: non-coding RNA, 212 nt
Filed under: Clostridioides difficile
Lineage: Bacteria; Bacillati; Bacillota; Clostridia; Peptostreptococcales; Peptostreptococcaceae
Description: Clostridium difficile T-box sequence
Rfam family: T-box leader
About the family: Uncharged tRNA acts as the effector for transcription antitermination of genes in the T-box leader family. T-boxes are found upstream of many aminoacyl-tRNA synthetase genes and some amino acid biosynthetic genes usually in Gram-positive bacteria.
Source: RNAcentral